This 354-nucleotide transfer-messenger RNA is filed under the name Chloroflexota (GNS bacteria). RNAcentral's name for it is "CAILQO01 sp903836285 Standard tmRNA". It matches the Rfam family "transfer-messenger RNA". From Rfam's summary of the family: Bacterial tmRNA, also known as 10Sa RNA or SsrA, is named for its dual tRNA and mRNA-like properties. Its role is to liberate the mRNA from a stalled ribosome. RNAcentral also lists the same sequence under 2 other names. The record is from RNAcentral. Lineage: Bacteria; Bacillati.
GGGGAUGACGGGUUUCGACAGGGCAGCGAGGUCAGGAGUGGCGAGCCGAGGUGUCCGUCGCUAUCUCGUAAAACAACGGACAAACAAGUACCUGGCGAACGUCAGUACGCACUCGCAGCCUAAGUAAGGCUGCCGUCCAUCCGAGUCUCGCCUUGGUAGGCGGAGAAUGGGCGCAACAAUGCCAAGGUGCUCCGAUCUUCCUCCCCGGGGGGUCGGCUACAGCGAAGGGGAUAGCGCCCGCGGAACGUUGUCGGUCCGGGUCAACGGCGCGAAACUAACGAACCGACUACGCUCGUAGGCACUUCUGGGCAGACCGUUCUGGACGGGGCGUUCGACUCGCCCCCAUCUCCACCG